UACGUAGGGGGCAAGCGUUGUCCGGAAUCAUUGGGCGUAAAGAGCGCGUAGGCGGCCCAGUCAGUCCGCUCUGAAAGUCAGGGGCUUAACCCCUGAAUGCGGGUGGAUACUGCUGGGCUAGAGUCCGGAAGAGGCGAGUGGAAUUCCUGGUGUAGCGGUGAAAUGCGCAGAUAUCAGGAGGAACACCGGUGGCGAAGGCGGCAUCCUGGACCGGCAUUGACGCUGAGGCGCGAAAGCCAGGGGAGCAAACGGG
Molecule: ribosomal RNA, 253 nt
Filed under: uncultured bacterium
Lineage: Bacteria
Description: partial 16S ribosomal RNA
Rfam family: Bacterial small subunit ribosomal RNA
Source: RNAcentral